GACGAACGCUGGCGGCGUGCCUAAUACAUGCAAGUUGAGCGCUGAAGGGUGGUGCUUGUUCCAACUGGAUGAGCAGCGGACGGGUGAGUAACGCGUGGGGAAUCUGCCUUUGAGCGGGGGACAACAUUUGGAAACGAAUGCUAAUACCGCAUAAAAACUUUAAACACAAGUUUUAAGUUUGAAAGAUGCAAUUGCAUCACUCAAAGAUGAUCCCGCGUUGGCUUAGCUAGUUGGUGAGGUAAAGGCUCACCAAGGCGAUGAUACAUAGCCGACCUGAGAGGGUGGUUGGCCAAAAUGGGACUGGGACACGGCCCAAGCUCCUACGGGAGGGAGCAGGAGGGAAACUUCGGCCAUGGGCGAAAGGCUGACCGAGAAACGCCGCGGGAGUGAAGAAGGGUUUCGGGUCGGAAAACUCCGUUUGUAGGGAAGAACGUUGGUGAGAGUGGAAAGCUCAUCAAGUGACGGUAACUACCCAGAAAGCGACGGCUAACUACGUG
This 497-nucleotide ribosomal RNA is filed under the name uncultured bacterium. RNAcentral describes it as "partial 16S ribosomal RNA". It matches the Rfam family "Bacterial small subunit ribosomal RNA", at positions 28 to 507 of the family's 1533-position model. The record is from RNAcentral.